AAAUUGAAGAGUUUGAUCAUGGCUCAGAUUGAACGCUGGCGGCAGGCCUAACACAUGCAAGUCGAGCGGUAGCACAGAGAGCUUGCUCUCGGGUGACGAGCGGCGGACGGGUGAGUAAUGUCUGGGAAACUGCCUGAUGGAGGGGGAUAACUACUGGAAACGGUAGCUAAUACCGCAUAAUGUCGCAAGACCAAAGUGGGGGACCUUCGGGCCUCAUGCCAUCAGAUGUGCCCAGAUGGGAUUAGCUAGUAGGUGGGGUAACGGCUCACCUAGGCGACGAUCCCUAGCUGGUCUGAGAGGAUGACCAGCCACACUGGAACUGAGACACGGUCCAGACUCCUACGGGAGGCAGCAGUGGGGAAUAUUGCACAAUGGGCGCAAGCCUGAUGCAGCCAUGCCGCGUGUGUGAAGAAGGCCUUCGGGUUGUAAAGCACUUUCAGCGGGGAGGAAGGCGGUGAGGUUAAUAACCUCACCGAUUGACGUUACCCGCAGAAGAAGCACCGGCUAACUCCGUGCCAGCAGCCGCGGUAAUACGGAGGGUGCAAGCGUUAAUCGGAAUUACUGGGCGUAAAGCGCACGCAGGCGGUCUGUCAAGUCGGAUGUGAAAUCCCCGGGCUCAACCUGGGAACUGCAUUCGAAACUGGCAGGCUAGAGUCUUGUAGAGGGGGUAGAAUUCCAGGUGUAGCGGUGAAAUGCGUAGAGAUCUGGAGGAAUACCGGUGGCGAAGGCGGCCCCCUGGACAAAGACUGACGCUCAGGUGCGAAAGCGUGGGGAGCAAACAGGAUUAGAUACCCUGGUAGUCCACGCCGUAAACGAUGUCGAUUUGGAGGUUGUGCCCUUGAGGCGUGGCUUCCGGAGCUAACGCGUUAAAUCGACCGCCUGGGGAGUACGGCCGCAAGGUUAAAACUCAAAUGAAUUGACGGGGGCCCGCACAAGCGGUGGAGCAUGUGGUUUAAUUCGAUGCAACGCGAAGAACCUUACCUGGUCUUGACAUCCACAGAACUUUCCAGAGAUGGAUUGGUGCCUUCGGGAACUGUGAGACAGGUGCUGCAUGGCUGUCGUCAGCUCGUGUUGUGAAAUGUUGGGUUAAGUCCCGCAACGAGCGCAACCCUUAUCCUUUGUUGCCAGCGGUUAGGCCGGGAACUCAAAGGAGACUGCCAGUGAUAAACUGGAGGAAGGUGGGGAUGACGUCAAGUCAUCAUGGCCCUUACGACCAGGGCUACACACGUGCUACAAUGGCAUAUACAAAGAGAAGCGACCUCGCGAGAGCAAGCGGACCUCAUAAAGUAUGUCGUAGUCCGGAUUGGAGUCUGCAACUCGACUCCAUGAAGUCGGAAUCGCUAGUAAUCGUAGAUCAGAAUGCUACGGUGAAUACGUUCCCGGGCCUUGUACACACCGCCCGUCACACCAUGGGAGUGGGUUGCAAAAGAAGUAGGUAGCUUAACCUUCGGGAGGGCGCUUACCACUUUGUGAUUCAUGACUGGGGUGAAGUCGUAACAAGGUAACCGUAGGGGAACCUGCGGUUGGAUCACCUCCUUA
RNAcentral lists this ribosomal RNA (1539 nucleotides) under Klebsiella pneumoniae. RNAcentral's name for it is "bacterial SSU rRNA". It matches the Rfam family "Bacterial small subunit ribosomal RNA". Lineage: Bacteria; Pseudomonadati; Pseudomonadota; Gammaproteobacteria; Enterobacterales; Enterobacteriaceae. The record is from RNAcentral.